GAUGUCGGGGGAGAAUUUGUUGAGGUGCAUGUUGUGAGAGUCUCAAGAACUUGUAUGUGACCUUUCUUGGGAAACUCGUGACCUGACCUAGUCUACGAUGAAAUCCAUAUGUGGCUUGGACAGACCAUAUCAUGUUCUUCUAUUUACCUUUCUCCUCUGUUUUCCUGUCUGUCAAAAUGAUUGAUUUGGUCCCACUAAGAGGGUCGUGGAGGUUCCCGAAACAACAUCUGGUUAGCAUUCCUCGAACCUUCAGAGAUGUAUAAAAGCUCCUCGUCCCCCAUAGAAACUUGGUCAGAUCUUCCUGCUCCUUUUGGGAGAAGGAACUUUCUGCCCCUUUUCAGCUGAAUUGUAGUCAUUUGACUUCUGUCUGUGCUUACGGCUUGUGCUGAUGAUUUCUGUAUUGUUUAUCAUUUUUCUAUAUUCUAGUUAGUAAUAAAUACUUAAUCACAAAGCAAGCUCAAGAUACUUUUGAUUUCUCACAUGGGCUAAAUCCACAAAUUUCCACCACAAACUUGGCGACGAGGAUGGGAUGGACGCGUGAUCUGGACUCUGACGGACGGACAGGAGGCCAUUUAGUAUAGGUGAUUCCUCCCUGAGGGUGAGAAGCUGCCGUCCCGACGAGACCCGGAUUGCCGAUCCAUCCAGUUCAAGGAAAAGAAACGAAGAACACGCGGUGAGAGAUCGAAAUUAUUUUAAAGGCAGACAGAGUCAUUGACAAAAUGGUUUUAGGCCUAUCUCACAACGAGCGUGUUGUAGGCAGACGUGUCUGGGUCACCUGUAGUAUUUUCUCGAGUUGCAUAUCCUGUGUCUCCUGAAAAUUCACAGGCCAACUUUGGAUAAAUGCAGUAGACUGAGUGGCCAGAGAAAGCAACGGUCACUGACUUGCCUUAGUUAUACGUGUGGUAUUUCUCCGGUUGUGCGCACCUUUAUAGGCGCGUACACUCCUUGUGUACAGAUACGGAUAUCUAAAUGAGUAGUGUUCAGAGUAAAGGGGAGACGGGUGAAAACCAUGAGACUAAUAUCCUGCCACCAUUGUGUAAAUUUAUGUCAGAGCGUUAUCCUGGCAGUUUGAAUCAAAUACAAAAAUGGGUUGAAUUGGGGUUCCCUUUAAAGGGGAGUUUGAGUGAGAAUCAAUUGGAACAGUUGGAAUUGCAACUGAGGGAAAAGGAGAAGAACGAUGCAGCUCAGCAUGCAGGCCUGUCGGAAAAAUAUCCAUUUACCA
Long non-coding RNA from Gasterosteus aculeatus aculeatus (three-spined stickleback), 1222 nucleotides. Lineage: Eukaryota; Metazoa; Chordata; Actinopteri; Perciformes; Gasterosteidae. The record is from Ensembl.